This 328-nucleotide transfer-messenger RNA is filed under the name Acetobacter pomorum. It matches the Rfam family "Alphaproteobacteria transfer-messenger RNA". From Rfam's summary of the family: Bacterial tmRNA, also known as 10Sa RNA or SsrA, is named for its dual tRNA and mRNA-like properties. Its role is to liberate the mRNA from a stalled ribosome. The record is from RNAcentral. Lineage: Bacteria; Pseudomonadati; Pseudomonadota; Alphaproteobacteria; Acetobacterales; Acetobacteraceae. RNAcentral also lists the same sequence under 16 other names.
CCGCUUGCAAUCCAUUACCGGACUUCCUAUGUUUGGGGUGUGAGAAGUUCGCUUCUGACUAUGGCAAUAAACGGGGUAUGGAAUAGGCGUAGUGGACCCGGGGGCGGUACCCGGCGUCUCCACCAAUCAUUCAGCCUGUAAAGGUUUGGACAGAUGGGGACGAAAUAGGCUCGACACGCGCAGUAAAGAUAUUCUUUUUGCCCGGUAUUGUACCACCGUUAUCGGGCUAUUUUUACAAGUGCCAAUGAUAACACUGAGGUGCUCGCUGUCGCUGCAUAAGCGAUAAGCGCGGUUCGGGAGGGCACCGGGCAACAGAAGCCCUCCCACC